Molecule: long non-coding RNA, 793 nt
Organism: Rattus norvegicus (Norway rat)
Lineage: Eukaryota; Metazoa; Chordata; Mammalia; Rodentia; Muridae
Source: Ensembl
GCCGGGACCUGUUGAACAGCUUUCUUCCUUCUGUUUCUGACGCCACUCAAAACUAGCAGCUUUCUAAGGCACCGGAACCUACUCUUCUAGCACAUAUUGAAGACCGACUAAGGCAUCCUGUCUUGUGGUACUGAGCAGAUCCUAGAUUCUUGGACUUCCUGCUCACAGCCAGCCAUUGUUGAAUUUUCUAGACUGCAGCCUAGGAAUUUCAAGAUUGGCUGGUUAACAGGACUCUCGCUGGCAGCUGAAGGGAAGACAUCACAGGCUGGAGAUGUUUGGGAAAGGAACACACUAUCAUGGAGUUUGUCCUAUGACUCGACGGGAAGGGAACAGAGGAGUAGCAGGUUCUGAAAUGGAAGCUGAUUAAUCUGAAAGCCCCAAAAGACACUGCUGGGGAGAAAGAAAAGUGGAAUCAGGAACUUGAGGAACAGCAUUUAGCAUCUACCCAGGGAAGGCAAGCUGACCCCUUUAGACAAGGAGAAAGUAGGUCAGCUUCCUGUUACUAUACGUAAGAUAAUCAACCUCAAAGGAGAGAAGUUGAUUUUAGUUUCUUUUCUUCUAGGUAUAACAAGCUUACCCCAUUGCCAUCUUAGAGUUGAGUUACCAUGGCUUGGUAGCUCUGGCAAGUAAUCGAGUGGACCAGUCCAGAGGUAGCUAUGUCUAUGAUUAUGACAAUGGAGCUGUGGACAUUUCCUUAUAGAAUGGCAGACAGGAAGUCAAAGGACCCUCAUCCGGAAACCCAGCCAUUAUUCCUUCCUGCAAAUGAGGUUGGGAGGUGCUAGAAUAUAUGGAG